RNAcentral lists this ribosomal RNA (473 nucleotides) under uncultured bacterium. Its description in RNAcentral is "partial 16S ribosomal RNA". It matches the Rfam family "Bacterial small subunit ribosomal RNA", at positions 30 to 507 of the family's 1533-position model. The record is from RNAcentral.
AGUGAACGCUGGCGGUAGGCCUAACACAUGCAAGUCGAACGGCAGCACAGUAAGAGCUUGCUCUUACGGGUGGCGAGUGGCGGACGGGUGAGGAAUACAUCGGAAUCUACUUUUUCGUGGGGGAUAACGUAGGGAAACUUACGCUAAUACCGCAUACGACCUACGGGUGAAAGCAGGGGAUCUUCGGACCUUGCGCGAUUGAAUGAGCCGAUGUCGGAUUAGCUAGUUGGCGGGGUAAAGGCCCACCAAGGCGACGAUCCGUAGCUGGUCUGAGAGGAUGACAGGACAGAUUGGGACUGAGAUACGGCCCAGACUAGUACGGGAGGAAGCAGGGGGGAGGAGUGCACAAUGGGUGGAAGCAUGAGGAAGCAAGGCCGUGUGCGGGAUGACGGCCUUCGGGUUGUAAACAGCUGUAGCUCAUGACGAAGCUUUGUGUGACGGUAGUGGGUAAAGGAGCACCGGCUAACUACGUG